UGCAGAUAUCUACAUAUUUAUUCCUCCUGAAAAAAAGGAACAUUAUGUGAAACAUUGUGGAUUUUCCUCAGGUCAUAGCAGAAUGUGAUUUUUUUUAAAUACAGAAACAGUAACCUGAAAAUAAAAGUUAAGUUCUGACACAACAGUUGUGUUCAUUAUGGUGCAACAAACCUGUGAGCACAAACACUGAGCCACUGUCAUCAGACUAAGGGGAUAUUUGUUGGGUAGGUGGCAGUGAACGCCAGUGUUCAGUGAACAUCUAAACUGACAAAGACAUUUAAAAAUAAAAAUAAAGCAGUUUACAUACAAUACUGUGCAAAAGUCUUAAGUCAGCACUCCAUUAUCUGGAUUUAGCUUCUAAGGAGGCAGACUUGUUGGUAUUUUUAAACCAGUUUUGAGCAAUAGUCCACUCCCUGCGCCGGAUCAUGAGAAAUUCAGAGGAAUGUUUUUUAACACUGACCUAUAAAUUAAACAAGCAUAAAAAAGGCACCUAACCCAAGCAAUGAACCAGUGUCAUGUCUAUACGCACCAGACAAAUUAGCAAAGAACCAAUUAUUAAAUUGUAUCUUUAGGCACUUUGUUAUUAGAAGUCUGCUGCAAAAACAUAAAAAAUUAUUUUCUCAUGUAUUUUAUUGAAACUACAAAAAAUGCCAAAGGUAGUUUGACUGGCUUAAAAUACUAUUUGUGCACAAACAAGGUGAUUACCAAAGGGCGACUUCCUGAAAACUACAUACCUCAGCAUGAUGUGCAGUGUGUCUUUGAGAAAUGAGAGGAAAGAGGACAAGCAGAGGACAAAAAGAAGAAGUAGCAGUUCAAUAGCAGAUGAACAGUCAUUUUAAAGGAAGGCAAACAGGCAGAAAAGGGUGAGAUAUGCUAAAUUACACAAGAACUGGACUGAAAAUCAGCAGAAACAGGUCAUCAGGAGUUUCUACAGCGAUCUGUAAAACACAGCAAGGCUCUGUCAUGGUUUCGGGCUGUAUUUCAGUGAACGGUGUUGGGGAUUUUGUUAAAGUUGAUGGAAUUAUGAACGCUGAAAAGUACCCUAUGGUCAUCAGUCAUGGGUUGGACUACCGAGAGCCUGGACUUACUGCUAUUACUAUAACGGAUCAUACCUACAGAGAAUGAAAUAAAAAACAGCCAACAUCCAAAGAAGAGCUUUGAAUGUUCUUCAAGAAGCCUGGAGAACUAUUCCUGAAGACUUCUCAAAGAAAUUACAAGAAAGCUGACUAAGAGCAUUCAGGCUGUGUUGAAGAGUAAAAAUGGUCAUACCCAAAAAUUCACUUUUGGGCUUGCUAGAAUUUUACAAACUUUUUUCUUUGCCUUAUAAACUAUAUUUCUGUGUAUGUCGGUGUAUGUUUCAUGACAUCCCUGCACCCAUUUCCCAUUUUCCUAUAAAGAAAUGACAUGUGGCUCAAGACUUUUCCACAGUACUGCAUAAAAUUUAGGACGUACGUCUGAACGAGUCUGUAAGAUCAAGAAAAUAAGGAAAUAUAAUGAAGCUUAGAGCUCAGUGAAAACAAUGUGACAUUAGAGUGAAUAAAUAUAGUUUAGAUCUUAAAUAAUAGCCUAUGUUCAAUAAUACUCAACAUCACUGUUUCACACAUUUUCCUGUGUUUUUCACACCUCUAGCACAAUUUAUGUUUAAACUGAGUUGCCAUUUCCACAGUUGUGUUCCUGUGCAGCUGUCAGGAGUGCACAGGAACACAGAAAGAAGCCAAAACUGAAGAGAAAAGUACUGAAAUACAUCUAAACCCGAACAUCCCUCACAAAAAAAUGACAAUACUCCUUAAAAAAUAUAUAGAUUCAGGCAUAUACUGCAAUAACACUGCAUCUUAUUACUGUACUGUAGCAGAUAUGAUGGCUCAUAUAUAGAUAUAAAACCUAAGCUUUAAGAUCAUUAAAUAUGGUACAGCAUCUCUCUUUUCUGCUUAUCGCACGUCUAAAAAUCUGCUUUCACACGUCACAAUCUGUAAGCACAGAAAAGGUAAAUACAUCAGCUUCUAUGGAAGACACUGCGGAACAAACUCUCUUCAGUUUCAUGGCAAUUUCAUGUCAGAAGUGAAAACAGAAACAGACAAAACUGACACUUUUCUCACAGACUUUCUGGUAAUCUGCAAGAAGAACAAAAAAAGGCUUAAAAAGUUGUAGUUCCUUCUUCGCUCGUCAGGUCUUUCUUCUGGAUAAAAACAGUUAAGCUCCAUUAGUUAUAUAGCUGUUAGCCCUCAUGUAGUGUAAGCUGCAGUGGUAAGAGGUUCACACUACCAUUAAUCCUUUGUGACACAGGGAAAAAGGGAGAAACUGGAGAAAAGAAUAAGAAUAACUGAAGUGAUGCUCAAAUAUGGGGUUGCGCAUGCCUUCUUCGUGUGUCUCAGCUCUGUCUCCUCGUCAUCAGCAGUCACUUUUGAUUUAUUGAGUGGAAAAUGCUGCUAAAAAUAUAUUCAAAGUGCUCACACCUAACAGAAAGGUAUUUAUGUGGUUAAUCUUAAUCACAUUGAGGGUGAAUGAUAGAUGCAGCACUAUAUCUAUGUGUGUUUAUGUAACUUUGUCAUUCUUCAGAUUAGGCUGACAUUUGUCUGUUGCCGGAAAAAUGGUGGUUUUUACUAGAUCCCUGCAUCCAGGAUGCAUUUGCCAGAGAAUGAGCUGAACAUGAGAUCAUAAACUCUGUGUUCAUCUAAUCUAAUGCAACUGAGGUCCUGAGCCAUAAAUAACUGCCGAAUGACUUAUAGUUGCAGAAUUUGCAAAUAAUGUCCUGCUUUUCCACUGAGUUUAAUAAAACAUGUUUGUAAUUUAGUACUAAGCCUUUUCUUGUCUAACUGAAUGCAUUUUUUCUCUAUAAAUUACAUAAUUACAUUCACAAAACUUCACAGAAAUUAAAAAACAAAUUCUAUAUGUCACAAUUUUUUAAUGACUUAGGCUACGUUCACACUGAAGGCGAAAGCGCAUCAAAUCCGAUUUUUUUGACCCUAUGCGACCCAUAUCCGACCAUG
Molecule: long non-coding RNA, 2987 nt
Organism: Astatotilapia calliptera (eastern happy)
Lineage: Eukaryota; Metazoa; Chordata; Actinopteri; Cichliformes; Cichlidae
Source: Ensembl